UAAGCAUUCUGUCAUAAAAACCAUUAUGUGGGUCUAUACACUUCUGUUCUUUUCUGCACUUUCAGUAAACUCUCUUGGAGAUGUAAUAACUUCCCAUGGUUCUGAAAAACAUGCUCAAGUGGGGAAGAGUGUUACUCUCUCCUGCAACUACAGUGGUACUGUAUCCAACCUACUGUGGUAUCGUCAGUAUCAGAGAUCCAAACCAGAACACCUUCUCUCCAUCGCUGAAUCUGGAGAUGCAGUUAAAUCUGAUCCAUCAGCACAAUGGUUAUCUGCUAAAGUUGAUAAAGACAGAAAGCUCAUGGAUCUGGAGAUCUCCCCUGCUAAACUGACAGACUCUGCUCAGUACUAUUGUGCACUGCGGCCCACAGUGAUAGGAUAUGUCUUUCCUCUGUACAAAAUCUUGCAUUUUGCAAAAUUAUGUGGCAUGGUUCAUUACACAUAUCACUGCAGUUCAGAGAUGAAAUGUCCACUGUAUGGUGCGAAAAGAAAGUUAAAUGUUCCCCAAACAGAUGAGAUUAAUGUUAAUGCUGUAGAGUUUAAUCAACAAAACUUAAAGAAACGUUGUGAUUAGCGACAUAUUCUUAUAUAUAUUUCCCUCUUGCCAUAGUCUUUAUUAAUGUAUUUUUAUGUGUAAAAUCCUUAAAGGGAUAGUUCACUCAAAAAUGAAAAUUCUGUCAUCAUUUACUCACCCUCAUUCCAAUCCCAUCUGACUUUUCUUCCAUGGAGUACAAGAGAAGAAAUUUUGAAGAAAGUAGACAGUGCUCUUGUUUUCCAUACAUUCAAAGUGAAUGUGUUCCAUGGAGGAAAGUCAUACAAGAAGUUAGGCAGAACUGACAGCCUC
Molecule: non-coding RNA, 844 nt
Organism: Myxocyprinus asiaticus (Chinese sucker)
Lineage: Eukaryota; Metazoa; Chordata; Actinopteri; Cypriniformes; Catostomidae
Source: the annotation of a RefSeq genome assembly